AUGUUAGAUUAGCCAUGCAUGUCUCAGUAUAAGCUUCUAUACGGCGAAACUGCGAAUGGCUCAUUAAAACAGUUAUAGUUUAUUUGGUGGUCAGCAAUUACAUGGAUAACCGUGGUAAUUCUAGAGCUAAUACAUGCGCCCAAACCCGACUUCGUGGAAGGGUUGUGUUUAUUAGAUACAGAACCAACCCAGGCUCCGCCUGGCCUUGAGGUGAUUCAUAAUAACCGAACGAAUCGCAUGGCUAUGCCGGCGAUAGACCAUUCAAGUUUCUGACCUAUCAGCUAUCGUCGGUAGGGUAUUGGCCUACCGUGGCAAUGACGGGUAACGGAGAAUUAGGGUUCGAUUCCGGAGAGGGAGCCUGAGAAACGGCUACCACAUCUAAGGAAGGCAGCAGGCGCGCAAAUUACCCAAUCCUGACGCAGGGAGGUAGUGACAAGAAAUAACAAUACAGGGCAUACAUGUCUUGUAAUUGGAAUGAGUAAACUUUAAAUCACUUUACG
RNAcentral lists this ribosomal RNA (500 nucleotides) under uncultured eukaryote. RNAcentral's name for it is "SSU rRNA". It matches the Rfam family "Eukaryotic small subunit ribosomal RNA", at positions 36 to 539 of the family's 1831-position model. The record is from RNAcentral.